UUAAGUUCAGCGGGUAGUCCUACCUGAUUUGAGAUCGAACGGUCAAAAAGCUGUCUUCACUGAGGAGAGACAUUUAUAAGCUCCAGCGAACCUCUGUCACCAAAGGUUACUCAGCAGACAACCACAAGCGUAGAUAGUUAUCACACCUGUGACACCACCAAAUACUGGUAAGCUGAUUCAUUUGAGAGGAGCUGACCACA
Molecule: unclassified non-coding RNA, 200 nt
Filed under: Thelephoraceae sp.
Lineage: Eukaryota; Fungi; Basidiomycota; Agaricomycetes; Thelephorales; Thelephoraceae
Description: partial internal transcribed spacer 2
Source: RNAcentral